RNAcentral lists this long non-coding RNA (556 nucleotides) under Ficedula albicollis (Collared flycatcher). RNAcentral describes it as "lncRNA (ENSFALG00000028035.1)". Lineage: Eukaryota; Metazoa; Chordata; Aves; Passeriformes; Muscicapidae. The record is from RNAcentral.
CCCCCCCCCCCCCCCCCCCCCCCCCCCCCCGGGGCGGGGUGGGGGUGUGUGUUUAGACCCGCGUCAUUUUAUAAUAAUUUUUCAGACACCGUUGUCGUUGUCCAGCGUGUGUGACCAGGUUGUUAAAGACUGGGCUAUUUUUGUUCAUACAAGCUGGAUCUCUGCGAGGUUUAAUUUAACCCCGUGCGGCUCAUCACAUUUCUUUCACCGGAAAAGUACCUUUCUGGAGAGCCUGCCGUCAGGUCGGUACUGCUCUCUAUUGCGGGACCGAAAAGGUCAAGUAAGUGGCUGAGCAAUGUGUGACACUACAAAAACUGAUGGACUCCCAAGUCAUGGCUGCAAUGGUUGUUUGAAACAAGAAACAGAUACCCUCAUGGUGUCAUUCAUGUCUGAUCACUGGGAAUGGGAGUUUGAAUGAAGGUGAAAGAAAAAGCCUAUAGAGAACUGGGAAUGGUUUGUCUCUUAAGAGGGGUAUAAUGACAUUUUUAAAGCUUUUACCAAAUAUCAAGACAUGUGAUAAGAGUUUAUGGAUGGGAAAUUGAUUGAAGGAUCGUGA